This 500-nucleotide ribosomal RNA is filed under the name uncultured bacterium. RNAcentral's name for it is "partial 16S ribosomal RNA". It matches the Rfam family "Bacterial small subunit ribosomal RNA", at positions 30 to 523 of the family's 1533-position model. The record is from RNAcentral.
AUUGAACGCUGGCGGAAUGCUUUACACAUGCAAGUCGAACGGCAGCACGGACUUCGGUCUGGUGGCGAGUGGCGAACGGGUGAGUAAUACAUCGGAACGUGCCCAGUCGUGGGGGAUAACGUAGCGAAAGCUACGCUAAUACCGCAUACGAUCUAAGGAUGAAAGCGGGGGAUCGCAAGACCUCGCGCGGUUGGAGCGGCCGAUGGCAGAUUAGGUAGUUGGUAGGGUAAAGGCCUACCAAGCCGACGAUCUGUAGCUGGUCUGAGAGGAUGCUCAGCAACACUGGGACUGAGACACGGCCCAGACUCCUACGGGAGGCAGCAGUGGGGAAUUUUGGACAAUGGGCGCAAGCCUGAUCCAGCCAUUCCGCGUGCAGGAUGAAGGCCUUCGGGUUGUAAACUGCUUUUGUACAGAACGAAAAGGCUCUGGUUAAUACCCGGGGCUCAUGACGGUACUGUAAGAAUAAGCACCGGCUAACUACGUGCCAGCAGCCGCAGUAA